ACUUCGGUAAAGAGCGGCGGACGGGUGAGUAACGCGUGGGUAACCUGCCCUAUACACACGGAUAACAUACCGAAAGGUAUGCUAAUACGAGAUGACAUAAGGGAUUCGCAUGGAUUUCUUAUCAAAGCUUUUGCGGUAUAGGAUGGACCCGCGUCUGAUUAGCUAGUUGGUAAGGUAACGGCUUACCAAGGCGACGAUCAGUAGCCGACCUGAGAGGGUGAUCGGCCACAUUGGAACUGAGACACGGUCCAAACUCCUACGGGAGGCAGCAGUGGGGAAUAUUGCACAAUGGGCGAAAGCCUGAUGCAGCAACGCCGCGUGAGCGAUGAAGGCCUUCGGGUCGUAAAGCUCUGUCCUCAAGGAAGAUAAUGACGGUACUUGAGGAGGAAGCCCCGGCUAACUACGUGCCAACAGCCGCGGUAAUACGUAGGGGGCUAGCGUUAUCCGGAUUUACUGGGCGUAAAGGGUGCGUAGGUGGUUUCUUAAGUCAGAGGUGAAAGGCUACGGCUCAACCGUAGUAAGCCUUUGAAACUGAGAAACUUGAGUGCAGGAGAGGGGAGUAGAAUUCCUAGUGUAGCGGUGAAAUGCGUAGAUAUUAGGAGGAAUACCAGUUGCGAAGGCGGCUCUCAGGACUGUAACUGACACUGAGGCACGAAAGCGUGGGGAGCAAACAGGAUUAGAUACCCUGGUAGUCCACGCCGUAAACGAUGAGUACUAGCUGUCGGAGGUUACCCCCUUCGGUGGCGCAGCUAACGCAUUAAGUACUCCGCCUGGGAAGUACGCUCGCAAGAGUGAAACUCAAUGGAAUUGACGGGGACCCGCACAAGUAGCGGAGCAUGUGGUUUAAUUCGAAGCAACGCGAAGAACCUUACCUAAGCUUGACAUCCUUCUGACCUCACCCUAAUCGGAGAUUUCCCUUCGGGGACAGAAGUGACAGGUGGUGCAUGGUUGUCGUCAGCUCGUGUCGUGAGAUGUUGGGUUAAGUCCCGCAACGAGCGCAACCCUUGCCUUUAGUUGCCAGCAUUAAGUUGGGCACUCUAGAGGGACUGCCAGGGAUAACCUGGAGGAAGGUGGGGAUGACGUCAAAUCAUCAUGCCCCUUAUGCUUAGGGCUACACACGUGCUACAAUGGGUGGUACAGAGGGCAGCCAAGUCGUGAGGCGGAGCUAAUCCCUUAAAGCCAUUCUCAGUUCGGAUUGUAGGCUGAAACUCGCCUACAUGAAGCUGGAGUUACUAGUAAUCGCAGAUCAGAAUGCUGCGGUGAAUGCGUUCCCGGGUCUUGUACACACCGCCCGUCACACCAUGGGAGUUGGGGGCGCCCGAAGCCGGUUAGCUAACCUUUUAGGAAGCGGCCGUCGAAGGUGAAACCAAUAACUGGGGUGAAGUCGGAACAAGGUA
Molecule: ribosomal RNA, 1397 nt
Filed under: metagenome
Description: bacterial SSU rRNA
Rfam family: Bacterial small subunit ribosomal RNA
Source: RNAcentral